Molecule: non-coding RNA, 92 nt
Organism: Notechis scutatus (mainland tiger snake)
Lineage: Eukaryota; Metazoa; Chordata; Lepidosauria; Squamata; Elapidae
Source: RefSeq, a predicted model, not a curated record
GUGUUGGUUGGUUACAAUUUUUUGUGUGCAUCUUCUCCAUAUUCCUCACUUACAAUUGUUUGUAUAUAUUCUCAUAUUGUUAUGUGAAAUAU